GUCUUAAGGACUGGAGGCGUAGCGAGAGCGAGUCUAAACAGGGCGUUUAGUAGCGUGCAAUGGGCCCGAAACCGGGUGACCUACCCAUGAUCAGGCUGAAGUGAAAGUAAAAUUUCAUGGAGGGCCGAACCGACCUCCGUUGAAAAGGCGGCGGAUGAAUUGUGGGUAGCGGAGAAAUUCCAAUCGAACUCGGAGAUAGCUGGUUCUCCCCGAAAUAGCUUUAGGGCUAGCCUCAUGUUAGAUAUCCGGAGGUAAAGCACUGAAUGGCCUAGCGUCCGAGAGGAUAGCGAAGCCUAUCAAACUAAGAAUGCCGGAAUAUUGAUGCAUGGGAGUCAGACAGUGUGAGAUAAAUCUCAUUGUCAAAAGGGAAACAGCCCAGAUCUACAGCUAAGGUCCCAAAUUGUAUCUAAGUGGAAAACGAUGUGGAAAUACGCAGACAACCAGGAUGUUGGCUCAGAAGCAGCCACUCAUUUAAAGAGUGCGUAAUAGCUCACUGGUCGAGCGUCUCUGCGCGGAAAAUUUAACGGGGCUAAGAUACAAACCGAAGCUUAGGCUGCAUAUGAAAGUAUGCGGGGUAGGGGAGCGUUGUGUAAGCGGAGAAACAGUAGCGGAAGCGGCUGUGGAGUUUACAGAAGUGAGAAUGCCGGAAUGAGUAGCGCGAAUGAUGUGAGAAUCAUCAUGGCCGGAAACCUCAGGUUUUUGGAGGAAGGUUCGUCCGCUCCAAGUUAGGCGGGAGCUAAGGUGAGGCCGAAAGGCGUAGCCGAUGCACAGACGGUAGAGAUUCCGUCCCCACCGAAAGAUUUAAGCGCAGGGACACUUUUAGAAGGUCGGAGCCAGGUGUUGGUUCUGGUAGAGAUCGAGGGAAGAUUAGUACCGAAGUCCGGCUGGAUAAGAGGCGAGAAAAGCUGCGUGUAUAUCUAAGGUGCCCGUACCGCAAACCGACACAGGUAGGUAGGAAGAAGAUUCUAAGGCCAACGGGAGAAGGGUUGUUAAGGAACUCGGCAAAUUGACCCCGUAACUUCGGGAGAAGGGGUGCUCCAGAGAUGGAGCCGCAGAGAAUCGGCCCAAGCAACUGUUUACCAAAAACACAGGUUUGUGCUAAAUCGAAAGAUGACGUAUACGAGCUGACGCCUGCCCGGUGCUGGAAGGUUAAGAGGAGAUGUGCAAGCAUUGAAUCGAAGCCCCAGUGAACGGCGGCCGUAACUAUAACGGUCCUAAGGUAGCGAAAUUCCUUGUCAGGUAAGUUCUGACCCGCAUGAAAGGCGUAAUGAUUUGGGCACUGUCUCAACAGCCCGCCCGGCGAAAUUGUAGUACCGGUGAAGAUGCCGGUUACCCGCGACAAGACGGAAAGACCCCAUGGAGCUUUACUGUAGCCUAAUAUUGGGUUUCGAUGUUGCAUGCACAGGAUAGAUGGGACGCUAGGAAGUGAGUGCUUUGGCAUUCAUGGAGCGGCCGUUGGGAUACCAUCCUUGCGACAUUGGAAUUCUAACCUGCGCCUUUGAAUCAAGGCGGGGGACAUUGUUAGGUGGGCAGUUUGACUGGGGCGGUCGCCUCCUAAAAAGUAACGGAGGCGUUCAAAGGUUCGCUCAGCUUGAACGGAAAUCAAGCAAAAGAGUGCAAACGCAGAAGCGAGCCUAACUGCGAGACUGACGGGUCGAGCAGUAACGAAAGUUGGAGUUAGUGAUCCGGUGGUAUGUGAGUGGAAAUGCCAUCGCUCAACGGAUAAAAGUUACCCUGGGGAUAACAGGCUGAUCUCCCCCAAGAGUCCACAUCGACGGGGAGGUUUGGCACCUCGAUGUCGGCUCAUCGCAUCCUGGGGCUGUAUUCGGUCCCAAGGGUUUGGCUGUUCGCCAAUUAAAGCGGUACGCGAGCUGGGUUCAGAACGUCGUGAGACAGUUCGGUCCCUAUCUGUCGUGGGCGCAGGAUAUUUGAAAGGCGCUGUCCCUAGUACGAGAGGACCGGGAUGGACGAACCUCUGGUGCACCAGUUGUCACGCCAGUGGCACAGCUGGGCAGCUAUGUUCGGAUCGGAUAAACGCUGAAAGCAUCUAAGCGUGAAGCCGGCCUUAAGAUAAGAUAUCCCACUGAGACAAUCAGGUAAGACCCCUUGA
Molecule: ribosomal RNA, 2110 nt
Filed under: human gut metagenome
Description: bacterial LSU rRNA
Rfam family: Bacterial large subunit ribosomal RNA
Source: RNAcentral